Molecule: ribosomal RNA, 194 nt
Filed under: uncultured bacterium
Lineage: Bacteria
Also listed under: 1 other name
Description: partial 16S ribosomal RNA
Rfam family: Bacterial small subunit ribosomal RNA
Source: RNAcentral
CCUACGGGAGGCAGCAGUAGGGAAUCUUCCACAAUGGACGAAAGUCUGAUGGAGCAACGCCGCGUGAGUGAAGAAGGUUUUCGGAUCGUAAAACUCUGUUGUUGGAGAAGAAUGUAUCUGAUAGUAACUGAUCAGGUAGUGACGGUAUCCAACCAGAAAGCCACGGCUAACUACGUGCCAGCAGCCGCGGUAAU